This 371-nucleotide ribosomal RNA is filed under the name uncultured organism. RNAcentral's name for it is "bacterial SSU rRNA". It matches the Rfam family "Bacterial small subunit ribosomal RNA", at positions 526 to 896 of the family's 1533-position model. The record is from RNAcentral.
CGAGGGGGGCAAAUGUUGUUCGGAAUCACUGGGCGUAAAGGGAGCGUAGGCGGGUUCUUAAGUUAGGUGUUUAAUCCCGGGGCCCAACCCCGGACCGGCACUUAAAACUGGGAAUCUUGAAUAGUGGAGAGGUCGGUGGAAUUGGGGGUGUAGCGGUGGAAUGCGUAGAGAUCCCCAAGAACACCAGUUGCGAAGGCGGCCGACUGGACACAUAUUGACGCUGAGGCUCGAAAGCAUGGGGAGCAAACAGGAUUAGAUACCCUGGUAGUCCAUGCCAUAAACGAUGAAUACUAGGUUUUGGGCCCGUCAACGGUCCAGAGCCGCAGCUAACGCGUUAAGUAUUCCGCCUGGGGAGUACGGUCGCAAGACUG